ACUUAAAUUGAAGAGUUUGAUCAUGGCUCAGAUUGAACGCUGGCGGCAGGCCUAACACAUGCAAGUCGAGCGGUAGCACAGAGAGCUUGCUCUCGGGUGACGAGCGGCGGACGGGUGAGUAAUGUCUGGGAAACUGCCUGAUGGAGGGGGAUAACUACUGGAAACGGUAGCUAAUACCGCAUAAUGUCGCAAGACCAAAGUGGGGGACCUUCGGGCCUCAUGCCAUCAGAUGUGCCCAGAUGGGAUUAGCUAGUAGGUGGGGUAACGGCUCACCUAGGCGACGAUCCC
RNAcentral lists this ribosomal RNA (288 nucleotides) under Klebsiella pneumoniae. RNAcentral describes it as "partial 16S ribosomal RNA". It matches the Rfam family "Bacterial small subunit ribosomal RNA", at positions 1 to 283 of the family's 1533-position model. The record is from RNAcentral. Lineage: Bacteria; Pseudomonadati; Pseudomonadota; Gammaproteobacteria; Enterobacterales; Enterobacteriaceae.